This is a non-coding RNA of Poecilia reticulata (guppy), 932 nucleotides long. The record is from RefSeq and is a predicted model, not a curated record. Lineage: Eukaryota; Metazoa; Chordata; Actinopteri; Cyprinodontiformes; Poeciliidae.
CAAACCAGGACUUCACAGUUCUACUGGAGAGCUUCAACGUACGACAUAAGACAUUAGACGAAUGACGACGAAGAACACAGACAACAGGUCGUCACAGUGAGGACAGAUGGCGAGUAGCUAAUGGCACAGGACUGGUUGGAGCACUCGAGUGCAUUCAAGAAACCCGAGCAGACCGGCCCGACCUCAGGUUGAACUUGGAAGCUCUGAUGCACCAGUAGACAUCAGACAUGUGGGAGGAAACCUCUUCUUAAUUAUAGGAAUUCAGGAUGUGGGGUUCAGUGUGGAAGGAUUGCCUCGCAGCCAGACUGCGGUGGCAUGGUCCUGUCAGUCGUAACACUGGUAAUAACAACUCUAAUUCCCUGUUGUGUCAGCAAUUUGCCAGAUGCAAGUUGGCAGAGAGGACUGCGUGCAGGUGGUUUUAACAGGCCACAGCAAAUGACAGAACUCACAACCUUCCACUGUCUCUGCACGUCAACUAAGUCUCUCCUGAUUACAUCUUAUCAACUUCCCUACACUUUAUGGACUGGAUUUUGGACCUUGGACUAUGUUUUUGUUGCUGUUUAUUGCAUAAACUCUGACUCUGGCCUUGCCCUCUUCUGGGUCCUCCAGUCACCACACCGGCCAUGUUUCCAUCAAGGUUUUUUAUGCACAUUUUGUAGUAUUACAGAAAAAAAAAUAAAAAUUAGCAAAAAGGCUUUUAGGCUCACUUGAGGAGUGUUUUGGGAAAUGGAAACCCAAUUGCUGAAUAAGUUCUGACGUAGCAAACUUUCCCAUCCGCUGGCGGGUCUAUGCACGAAAUUUGAAAAAAAUGAUUUCAAAGUCCACACCUCCAGCAAGGGGGGGCAGGGGGGGAGGGGGACUGUCAGCCUGGAGCGGCCCACGAGAGGCACUCUACGCUGGGGAGAGGAGUGGUGGAACCAGGGGUCGUGAUA